CUUCUCAGUCCUGCCAACAGCUGUGAGUGAGCAUGGACGCAGAUCCUCUCCCAGUGGAGCAUUUGGAUGACCACGGCUCUGGCUAACACCUCACUUACAGCCUUGGGAGAGAUUCUGAGUCAGAGGCAUCCAGCUAAAUUGACCCACAGACACGGCCUAUAAAAGCCCCAGGCUCAGCCAGAGCAGAGCAGAUGAUGGAUGACCAGCUGCAGAGAAGAGCUACCCUUUCUGCUGACAGCAGAAGAUGUCCCAACAACCAGCAGAAGAGAGAAGCUAUCCAUUCUAGGGCCUCUUCUCUGCUGAGAGCUUCAGAAACCUGCAGAGACAUCGAGACUACCAGCUGCAGAGUGGAACAAUCCACUCCAGGGCCACCUCUCUGCUGAGAGCUAAGAAGACAAUGAGAUGACCUGCCUGCUAGGAGGAGCUUCCCUCUCCAGGGUCUCCUUUCUGCUAGGAGCUGAACUCUCAUUGGAACAUCCUGGCUGUGGAAAGGAGCUACCCUCUGCAGGUCUCCUGUGUGCUGUUCUAUUGAUCAAUAAAGCUCCCCUUCAUCUCGCUCAUCCUCCACUUGGCUCUGUACCUCAUGCUUCCUAGUUGCAGGACAAGAACUCGGGACCUACCAAAUGGCAGAGCUAAAAGAGCUAUAACACAGGACUGAAACAUGCCCCCUGCUUGCCACAUUGAGGGCAAAGAGAAGGAGAUAAGAUCUGUGCCUUCUCAGGCAGCCCAGACCUGGGAGCUCCCUGAGCCAGGGCUGUGACUCCCUCUUUGGGGUCCUGUGGUGCCUAGUAUCUCCAAGCUUCCAGGUGCCACUGCAUUUCCCGGUGCCAGCUGGGGAAGCUUCCUGCAGUGCACCUGGUCUGGCCACAGCCUCACAGAGAGUCAGUGCCUGUGCCAGCACCUGUAACUGCCCGCCCCAUUGCAGCAGCCGGCAUGUCCGAUUGCACACUGGCUGAACCCCAUGCUCCCUCACACACCCCUUGCCACUCCAUGCCUGACUUACCCUUGGCAGGUAUGGGAUCCAGGCCAGUAGUGUCAGCCAAGUAAAGCCUGCCAGGCCAGGUAGGCAGAACAAACCCAGCGGGCCUAAGCAAGACUUGGGCAAAGACAUCACCAGCCAGAAAAACAAUAUCCCAAGAAUCUUGUGACACUAGGCAUAGUGAAGUUCUUUAUUAAUUUGUAGAUUUUUAACCUGGAAAAUUCUAAUAUUUUCAACUAUUAAAAAAGAUAAUCCCCAAAAUAAUGCUUUAUUGUCAUGUAAAAUAUUAAAUAGAUUGUAUGUAACUUAGCUAUAUUAUUCUAAGAUAAAAUUCAUUAACUUGUCUUUAAGAAACUAGUUCCUAAAAUGCACUUUGAACUGUAUUUAUAAUCUCACUAGUCCUCUACUUAAUUAGGAAGUGGAAUAAAAUAUUUGAUAUAUUUUCUUUUUAUAUUUACAAAAGUCACCAUUUAAAUUCUUUGAAUUUUAACAUGUUAUACUUUUGGAGGAUCCACUGAGACACUAAAGUGGGUUCAUAAAGCCAACCAAACUGUGAUAGCACAGAAAUGUACUUCAGGAGCUGUUUAGGAGGAGAGACUUUUCUUUCUCCUCAAAGUGAUUCUCAAAUAGCAAUAGAGUCCUGGUGCAGUGGCUCAUGCCUACAAUCGAGCACUUUGGGAGGCCAAGGUGGGAGAAUUGUUUGAGCCCAGGAGUUCAAGAUCAGCAUAGGCAACAUAGCGAGACCUCAUCUCUACAAAAAAUACAGAAAUUAGCCAGGUGUGCCGGCAUGUGCUGUGUUUUUUGUCCAGCUACUUGGGAGGCUGAAGUGGAGGGAUUUCUUGAAACUGGGAGGUCAAGACUGAAGUAAGCCAUGAUCCUGCCACUAUACUCCUACAUGGGGGAAAGAGCAAGACUC
Homo sapiens (human) is the source of this 1895-nucleotide long non-coding RNA. Ensembl annotates it as PPP1R9A antisense RNA 1. Its record names the gene PPP1R9A-AS1. The record is from Ensembl. Lineage: Eukaryota; Metazoa; Chordata; Mammalia; Primates; Hominidae.